GAAAUGGUACCAUUUGGACAGUGUGUUCAUUGGACAUUUUCGUCUUGUUUCGAGACCACUUAUGUAUACACAAAAUUUUGCAACAAAGUUUUUUCCUCCACCUUUUUUGUGUGUAUACACACAUAUGUAGAUAACAUAUACAUAUGUUAUCUACACAAACACACACACAAACACACACACACACACACACCUACACACACAAACAAACAAAUUCAUGAUCUCCAACUUACACGUAUAGAUCAUUCAGCAAAAUCCUACAUAAUUUGAAACACAUAUGUCAGAGCAUGCUGUAUAUAGUACUAGUUUGCCACAAGGACAUGACAUUAAAAAUAGUUACAUGAAAGAACAAGCACAUAAGUCAGCUGGAUAGUCAGGUGAUAAAGCAGUCAUUUACCAUUUUGAAGGAUCCAGAUUCAAUUCAAUUUCACACCUCAGUUAUUCAG
Molecule: long non-coding RNA, 443 nt
Filed under: Androctonus crassicauda
Lineage: Eukaryota; Metazoa; Arthropoda; Arachnida; Scorpiones; Buthidae
Source: RNAcentral